GAUGCAAGCGUUAUCCGGAAUCAUUGGGCGUAAAGCGCCUGUAGGUUGUUUAAUAAGUCUGUUGUUAAAGACUGGGGCUUAACCCCAGGAAAGCAAUGGAAACUACUAGACUUGAGUAUGAUAGGGGUAGAGGGAAUUUCUAGUGUAGCGGUGAAAUGCGUAGAUAUUAGGAAGAACACCGGUGGCGAAGGCGCUCUACUGGAUCAUUACUGACACUCAGAGGCGAAAGCUAGGGUAGCAAAAGGGAUUAGAUACCCCUGUAGUCCUAGCCGUAAACGAUGGAUACUAGAUGUUGCGUUUAUUAUGCAGUAUCGUAGCUAACGCGUUAAGUAUCCCGCCUGGGGAGUACGCUCGCAAG
The sequence is a ribosomal RNA, 358 nucleotides long. It matches the Rfam family "Bacterial small subunit ribosomal RNA", at positions 531 to 892 of the family's 1533-position model.